UACGGGGGGGGCAAGCGUUGUUCGGAAUUACUGGGCGUAAAGGGCUCGUAGGCGGCCAACUAAGUCGGAUGUGAAAUCCCCAGGCUUAACCUGGGAACUGCAUCCGAUACUGGAUGGCUUGAGUAUGGGAGAGGGAUGUAGAAUUCCAGGUGUAGCGGUGAAAUGCGUAGAUAUCUGGAGGAAUACCGGUGGCGAAGGCGGCAUCCUGGACCAUUACUGACGCUGAGGCGCGAAAGCUAGGGGAGCAAACGGG
RNAcentral lists this ribosomal RNA (253 nucleotides) under uncultured bacterium. RNAcentral's name for it is "partial 16S ribosomal RNA". It matches the Rfam family "Bacterial small subunit ribosomal RNA", at positions 524 to 776 of the family's 1533-position model. The record is from RNAcentral.